RNAcentral lists this unclassified non-coding RNA (1929 nucleotides) under Hevea brasiliensis (rubber tree). The record is from RNAcentral. Lineage: Eukaryota; Viridiplantae; Streptophyta; Magnoliopsida; Malpighiales; Euphorbiaceae.
AAAAAUGAUUAAAUUAUCUCGAUUAAAUAAUUAUAUUUUAAAAAUCAAUUUAACCUUAAUUGACACUUGUUUAUGAAUACAAAGUUUUUUAUUUAAUUUAUGCAUUUUAAAAAUCAUCUUAAACCUUCAUCACUUAUUAGCCAAACCCACAACUUUCUUAUCAAUGAAUCCAAUUUAUUAUUACAGAAAACAAUUGCACAAAUCUUGACACAACAUUACACCACACAACUAAUUAUUACUUUAUCAGUGUAACUUAAUCCAACUAUUUUAUCACUAUAACGACAUAAAAUAUGCUUCAAUUUAUAUUAUGCCUUUUUUUUCAUUCAACAUGUUCAUGUACCUUAUAUUCAUUAUAUAUAUCAUUAUUAACAAAAACUAUAAUUUUUAUACUGCCACACACGCAUAACACUUGCAAGACAAAAUAGAAAUGUCAACCGACUAAACGAUGCUGAACCUAAAGCUUAAUCAUACAACAAAAGCAUAACUAUCUUGAUGACUCCAAAAUAAUGCAUGAAGCCAAAGAAACUCAAACAUUUCAGAAUCCAUGUGUGACGAAAUAAAGAACACUUUUCAUUCAUUUUUAUCAAAGUAAGAAUAAGAGCCAAACCCUUAAUUCUUAACUUGACAACCAAAUUCCACAUAGUAGUAACUAUAAGAUCAUGAUUUACAAUCUAAGAGGGAGUGGUAGGGAUUGAGAGAUCCGCAAAAGAGUAUUAAGGAAAUUACUCGAAAAGAUAACAGCAAACAUGGAACUAUAAUGCUUACACGAUAUAAAAAAAAGGGUAGUCACACUUCUACACAAUAAACAGCUUCAGAGAAUAACAACUAAGCCGAACUGAUUGCUUGUACACAUGAAAUCAUUUAAUCAUAGUAUAAACAAACAAGUCAUCCGAACAACCCAUCGAGGCAAAGCUAAGCACAAUACAAUUUGAACCAGAGAGAACUGAAAACAGAGGCUUCAAAGACGGAAGAAAACGAACCAUUUGCAUCUGACCCACAGUAAAUAGCAACGUACACACUUCAUACCAAUGAAUUCUCUAAAUUGUCCUUAGCUCACAAUGAUAAAGAUGUAAAAAAAAACAUUAAAACGAUAAAAGAUGAAAGAAACUUUACAUGAAAAAAAACAAACAGGAAAGGAAAGUGAUGAUUCUAACAAGGAAAGGAAGGAAACCGAUGCUUAUGUACAACCUAAUCAUGGAUCCUACACCAAACGAAUCGAUAUGUUUCAUUCAAUACCAUAUUAAUAAAUCACCAAUUCCACUACCAGCAGCGAACCACUUGAAUAAUGAGGCUUUUCGACAUCAGAAAAGUGUCAUCUUUUAAGAUAGCAAGAGAAACAACUAGUGAGAGGAUCAAAGAAGGCGUUAUGAAGGAGAAAGUAUUACCUUCUCCUAGGCAGCGUACUGAGACGAGAAGCGAGCUAGCGACGACCACAACUUGAUUAUGAUUUUUUUAACAGCUAAGUAGAGAUGUAGAAAUAGAUUCAAGAAUACCUUUCAAGUCUAAGUGAUUGCUGCCAGAAAAAUCUUACACUUUGAUUAUGAAUUUCGGAGAAAACCUCUAUCUCUUUUACUUCUCUUUUUCUUAGAAAUUCCCAGACUAAAAUUUCUCCGAAAAUCUUGCUCUCUAAAAAUGGCCACUCCCAAAAUAAAAAAAAUCCCCCUUAUUCGAAACAAAAAUAGAAUAAAUAUAGGGGAACCAUUAGGGUUUCCGAGAUUGAGUGAAAUACUUUAUCAAACCUUUGCCCCCUUUCAAAAUUUGAAACUCGAUUCCUGCACCAAUUUGGGGGAAACACCUUUUCUGAGUUUUCAACUUUUUUCCCAGAAAGGAAAGAGGGAUAGAUGGCUAGAUGAAUCUCAUCGUUCUUAAGCCUUGACGUGGCGCAAUCCUAGGCCAUGAGGGUGAUUCCGCGUGCCUGCUAUGAUACUG